CCCUUCGUGGUGCAGUGGUCAGCACGCUGGGCAUGUGUUCCAGAGAUCCGUGGUUCGAUUCCCGACGAAGGGG
RNAcentral lists this transfer RNA (73 nucleotides) under Stegodyphus mimosarum. It matches the Rfam family "tRNA". From Rfam's summary of the family: Transfer RNA (tRNA) molecules are approximately 80 nucleotides in length. Lineage: Eukaryota; Metazoa; Arthropoda; Arachnida; Araneae; Eresidae. The record is from Rfam by way of RNAcentral.